GACUAACUCAGGCAACAUUGUUUUGAAAGCAACUUAAAGAGGUUCAAUUCCUCUAUUAGUCU
RNAcentral lists this transfer RNA (62 nucleotides) under Teloganodidae sp. MT-2014. Its description in RNAcentral is "tRNA-Ser". Lineage: Eukaryota; Metazoa; Arthropoda; Insecta; Ephemeroptera; Teloganodidae. The record is from RNAcentral.